UGCAGUCGAGCGGCAGCACGGGUACUUGUACCUGGUGGCGAGCGGCGGACGGGUGAGUAAUACCUAGGAAUCUGCCUGGUAGUGGGGGAUAACGUUCGGAAACGGACGCUAAUACCGCAUACGUCCUACGGGAGAAAGCAGGGGACCUUCGGGCCUUGCGCUAUCAGAUGAGCCUAGGUCGGAUUAGCUAGUUGGUGAGGUAAUGGCUCACCAAGGCUACGAUCCGUAACUGGUCUGAGAGGAUGAUCAGUCACACUGGAACUGAGACACGGUCCAGACUCCUACGGGAGGCAGCAGUGGGGAAUAUUGGACAAUGGGCGAAAGCCUGAUCCAGCCAUGCCGCGUGUGUGAAGAAGGUCUUCGGAUUGUAAAGCACUUUAAGUUGGGAGGAAGGGCUGUUACCUAAUACGUGAUGGUCUUGACGUUACCGACAGAAUAAGCACCGGCUAACUCUGUGCCAGCAGCCGCGGUAAUACAGAGGGUGCAAGCGUUAAUCGGAAUUACUGGGCGUAAAGCGCGCGUAGGUGGUUCGUUAAGUUGGAUGUGAAAUCCCCGGGCUCAACCUGGGGAACUGCAUUCAAAAACUGUCGAGCUAGAGUAUG
This 602-nucleotide ribosomal RNA is filed under the name uncultured bacterium. RNAcentral describes it as "bacterial SSU rRNA". It matches the Rfam family "Bacterial small subunit ribosomal RNA", at positions 56 to 650 of the family's 1533-position model. The record is from RNAcentral.